AAGCGAACAAGUGCAUGUGGUGGAUGCCUUGGCGAUCACAGGCGA
This 45-nucleotide ribosomal RNA is filed under the name Cupriavidus necator. RNAcentral describes it as "partial 23S ribosomal RNA". Lineage: Bacteria; Pseudomonadati; Pseudomonadota; Betaproteobacteria; Burkholderiales; Burkholderiaceae. The record is from RNAcentral.